RNAcentral lists this unclassified non-coding RNA (776 nucleotides) under Hevea brasiliensis (rubber tree). The record is from RNAcentral. Lineage: Eukaryota; Viridiplantae; Streptophyta; Magnoliopsida; Malpighiales; Euphorbiaceae.
AAGUCCACCAAAUCCGGCUUGGCAGGGUCAACUACAGAAAGAACCGCAUCAACUGCCAAUGGAGCAAGAAGCGUCGAAUACUGACUCACCACUUUGCUAUUUAACGAAGUACUUGCAGAUUUAAUUAGGGAUUCACGGUCCGACAAUUCAACAGGUACAGCCAUAGCAGUUAACACAUCAACAGCUUUAAUAGAAACUUUAUGAAGAGAAUCAGAGAUUAUCGUGGGGUGGAUUCCACUGGAUAGGAGCGUAAGACACUGUUUCAACAGCGCCCCACCAAUAACGACGACGGUCGUUGUACCAUCACCGGCAGCGGCAUCCUGAGACUUGGAGAGCUCGACAAGCAUUUUCGCAGCAGGCUGAAGAACCUCCAUUUUGUUGAGAAUAGUAGCGCCAUCAUUGGUUAUAAUAACCUCGCCACUCGCCGUCGAAAUCAUCUUGUCCAUUCCUUUGGGGCCAAGGCUGGUCCUAACGGCAUCGGCCACAGCUCUGGCCGCCACGAUGUUGGCGUGGCGGAUAUCCUCCUUGCGUUUAUUAUCGACGUAGGACUCGGUCUUGGAGGAUCUGGGCUCCCCGAUAGCCGGUGCUGCCAUCGAUACUGCAGAAGUGGAAGAUGAAAAACCCUAACCCAAAUGAAGGCUAACAGAAAUGCGAGAUUCAAAUUGGGAGAGGUAAAGUAGGAGCAAAAGCGAGAGUUCAAGAAAGAAGAGGAUCUAUUGGAAGCUGGCACUAAGAACCCUAAAGAACGAGAGUGAAGCCUCUAGAGAAAACGGGAG